GUUUAUGUGUAUGUAAGGGAUGCAGUGUGUGUGUCUGUAAGGGCUGCAUUAAUUGUCUCUAAGGGGUGAAUUGAGUGUGUGCAAGAGAAGCAGUGUGUGUUUCUGUGUGUGUGUGUAAGGGAUGCAUUGUGUGUUUCUGUGUGUAAGGGAUACAGUGUGUGUGUGUGUGUGUGUGUAAGGGAUGCAUUGUGUGUUUCUGUGUAUG
Molecule: non-coding RNA, 205 nt
Organism: Pelobates cultripes (western spadefoot toad)
Lineage: Eukaryota; Metazoa; Chordata; Amphibia; Anura; Pelobatidae
Source: the annotation of a GenBank genome assembly